Molecule: ribosomal RNA, 313 nt
Filed under: Biarctus sordidus
Lineage: Eukaryota; Metazoa; Arthropoda; Malacostraca; Decapoda; Scyllaridae
Description: eukaryotic LSU rRNA
Rfam family: Eukaryotic large subunit ribosomal RNA
Source: RNAcentral
CAACAGGGAUUCCCUUAGUAAGGGCGACUGAACAGGGAAGAGCCCAGCGCAGAAGCUCGUGUCCCCAACGGGCACGAGCGGUGUUGCGUUCCGGAGGGUCCAGCACGUCGUCCCAUACCGCCUAAGUCAAGCUUGAACGCGGCCACUACCCAUGGAGGGUGACAGGCCCGUAUGGCGGCGCCCGCAAGGGCACAGAUGGGGCGGUCGGAAAGGACUUUUCUCCGUAGAGUCGGGUUGCUUGAAAGUGCAGCCCAAAGUAGGUGGUAAACUCCAUCUAAGGCUAAAUAUGACCACGAGACCGAUAGCGAACAAG